RNAcentral lists this long non-coding RNA (605 nucleotides) under Pongo abelii (Sumatran orangutan). RNAcentral describes it as "lincRNA". The record is from RNAcentral. Lineage: Eukaryota; Metazoa; Chordata; Mammalia; Primates; Hominidae.
GCACUCCCUCCAAGACAGACUUCUCUGUGGGAGCAGCAUAUUGGAGGCCUGCCAGGACGGUUCACAGGAAUGGCUGUGGAGGGCUGCAGGCAUGUCUCUAAUCAGAACCUGCCUGUUUUUUUGAUUGACAGCUGCACUUUCUCCACCAAGAAGUGGGUACUGUGCAAGUUAUGGUCAUAGUGAAGGUGGGGACGUGGAGAUGAUCCCAAAUGAGCUACGUAGGCCUUAUCGAAUCAGUGGAAAGCCUUGAGAACAGAGCCAAAGUUUCUCUGAGGAAGAGGAAAUUCUACCUGUAGACAGCAGCUUCAGUUCCUGCUGCAGUUUCCAGCCUGCCAUUCCUGAGGGCCUUCCCUGUGGAUUCCAGAUUUGCCAGCCAGUCCUCACAGCCACAUAAGCCAAUUGCUUGUAAUAAGUCCUAGUGUUAAUGAUCCUUAAUAAUAUACAUAUAAAUAAUAUAUCCUAGUAUUAAUAAAUCAAUCUCCCUCUCUCCAUGUCUCUCUCUCUCUCUCACACACACACACAAACACACACACACACAGACACACACACACGUCUUACUAGUUCUACUUCUCUGGUGAACCUUGACUGAUAUAGAUGAGUAAUCA